AUACAGAGGGUGCAAGCGUUAAUCGGAAUUACUGGGCGUAAAGGGCGUGUAGGCGGGAAAUCAGGUGUCGUGUGAAAGCCCCGGUCUCAACCCGGGAAUGGCACGGCAAACCGGUUUUCUUGAGGCGAGUAGAGGUGACUGGAACAACUGGUGGAGCGGUGAAAUGCGUAGAUAUCAGUUGGAACGCCGGAGGCGAAAGCGGGUCACUGGACUCGUCCUGACGCUGAGACGCGAAAGCGUGGGUAGCAAACAGGAUUAGAAACCCCAGUAGUCC
This 274-nucleotide ribosomal RNA is filed under the name uncultured bacterium. Its description in RNAcentral is "partial 16S ribosomal RNA". It matches the Rfam family "Bacterial small subunit ribosomal RNA", at positions 523 to 796 of the family's 1533-position model. The record is from RNAcentral.